Long non-coding RNA from Ctenopharyngodon idella (grass carp), 1372 nucleotides. RefSeq lists it as uncharacterized. NCBI's taxonomy places the organism in Eukaryota, Metazoa, Chordata, Actinopteri, Cypriniformes, Xenocyprididae. The transcript has 4 exons. The record is from RefSeq and is a predicted model, not a curated record.
UUCAGCUGACAUCUUUAAUCACUGUGAAAAUGAAAGCGCACACGUCGUCCGGCGGACACGAUGAUUAGGCCACGAGGAUCGACACCUAUUUCGUUGACAGAAUAAUGGAAUAAUAACUCUACAGGUACUAAUCUAUCCGGAGGGUCGAAGGCUAUCAGCAGUGUCCGCGCAGAGGCCUUCAUUGACCAUACGAUGACUGUCAGGCGACUGAACGACCUCUAAUCCCUUCGCUCGGAUCCAGCUCACAUGUCUGCGCUCCAUUGAGAUUCGUUUGGUUAUUCAGUCAGAGCAACAAUUAAAGUGGAUCUCAGGAGGAGGAGGAUGAUGAAGAUGAGGGAACAAUGUGUCUGGCCGCGGCUGCUUUCACCAACCCCGCAGCAUUAGUCACUCUGUCAGCUGCUGUCUCAACACCUUCCUGUAGAUCCAUGCAUUCACACGGUGGAGUCCGGCCAACCGGUGUGACACGCCGAGACUAAAAUACAGUCACUCGCCCACUGACGGCUCCUAUUGUUGGGACUGGUAGAGGAGCAGCAGGUGAGUAUUUCACAGUAUGAGCUGUGCCAGUGAUGCGGGCCACAUCUAUAAUGAAUGGAUGGAGUGGCCAGACGUGUCUCAUCGAGGGUAAAGGAUGCCCGCAGAGGGAUCACUUCCCCGCUGCUUUAUUGCCACGAGUUUUAUUUAUGGAUUUGACAUGGUGCCGCUGGGCUGGAGGUGCAGGGAAACCGGGCCGCUGUUCAGCGCUGCACCAUCACAAUCUCCAAAAACGCAGUCAAACGAUCUGAGAGAACAUGACAAACACUCGCAUUACAAUAUGCAAACCCCUCAACCCCUCAAAACCCCUCAAAUAAGAUCAGCGAUCUCUCAAACUGUGCCACAGAUCACGGUAUGAACAAAUUCUUCCAAAACUAACUUUUUCCACAAUCCAUUCCAUCAUAAAAUAGCUGAUUUUUUUUUUUUUUGGACACUUUUUCCUGAUGGAAAUGCAUCAGAAGUAAGUUGUGGAAGUAAAAUAGCUCUCGGACAUUGUCUUGUGAGCUUUAAAAAGAGAAACCUCUGAGAAACUGUGAGAGUGAUCGAAUGUACUGAUGUUCAGGUUUCGCCUGGUUUUUGGGUCUUGUUGGUUUCAUCAGGUUUUGAUGGAUGUCAGAAUCCUCCGGUCUGUGGAUGGACUGUCCUCUGGGUUUUGUGACAGUAAGAGAACAAAUGACAGUCAGAGACGUGAAUGAAAGUAGACCAACUCCAGCAGUUCAUACAAACUACCAUAAAAAUCUUCAAAACUUCAAAAAAGAAAUUUCAUUCAAAGAACAAACCAUAACACAAUUUUUAUCAUUUUCAUAAUUUAUUCAUUUAUUUUACAUAAACAAUUAUAUAU